AUGACCUGGGCUCUUCUCCUGCUCAGCCUCCUCAGUCAGGGCCCAGGAACUUGGGCACAGAAUGUCCUGACUCAGCCUCCCUCAGUGUCUGGGACUCCAGGACACACAGUCACCAUCUCCUGUACAGGAACCAGCAAUGACAUUGGGGCAUAUAACUAUGUCUACUGGUUCCAGCAGCAGGAGGGCACAGCUCCCAAAACCCUGAUAUAUAAUGUCAAUAAUCGGCCGUCAGGGAUCCCUGAUCGCUUCUCUGGCUCCAAGUCUGGCAACACAGCGACCCUGACCAUCUCUGGGCUCAAGCCUGAGGACGAGGCUGAUUAUCACUGUAGCUCAUAUACAAGAAGUAGCACUUUCCACAGUAGCUGCUGUACACAGGGAAGUUUAUGUGCUCACCCAGUGCUGACCCAGAACCCCUUUGCAACUGCCUCACUGGGAGCCUCCAUCCAAUUUACCAGCAGCAGGGGGCACAGUGACUUCACUAUUAAGUGGUAUCAGCAGAGUGCAGGAAAGGCCCCUGUCUCUGUGAUGUAUGGUAGGGGUGAUGGAAGCCACAAGGAAUGGCAUGAUAUUCCUGAUUGCUUUUCAACUCCAGAUCAGAGGAUGACCGCUACUUAA
Non-coding RNA from Sorex araneus (European shrew), 615 nucleotides. The record is from the annotation of a RefSeq genome assembly. Lineage: Eukaryota; Metazoa; Chordata; Mammalia; Eulipotyphla; Soricidae.